RNAcentral lists this ribosomal RNA (504 nucleotides) under uncultured bacterium. RNAcentral's name for it is "partial 16S ribosomal RNA". It matches the Rfam family "Bacterial small subunit ribosomal RNA", at positions 29 to 523 of the family's 1533-position model. The record is from RNAcentral.
AACGAACGCUGGCGGCACGUUUUAAGCAUGCAAGUCGAAUGGCAGCAGGGGGCAACUCUGUGAGAAUGGCGAACGGGUGAGUAACACGUAGGUGAUCUGCCUUGAGGAUGGGGAUAGCCUGUGGAAACACAGGGUAAUACCGAAUGAGCUGACGAGACUUUGGUUUUGUUAGUAAAGGUGCUACGGCACCGCCUUGAGAGGAGCCUGCGGCUGAUUAGCUAGUUGGUGGGGUAAGAGCUUACCAAGGCGACGAUCAGUAGCCGGCCUGAGAGGGUGUACGGCCACACUGGAACUGAGACACGGUCCAGACUCCUACGGGAGGCAGCAGCUAAGAAUCUUCCGCAAUGGGCGAAAGCCUGACGGAGCGAUGCCGCGUGAUCGAUGAAGGUCGAGAGAUUGUAAAGAUCUUUUCUACAUGAGGAAUAAGUCUGGGAGGGAAUGCCCGGAUGAUGACGUUAGUGUAGGAAUAAGCACCGGCUAACUCUGUGCCAGCCGCCGCGGUAA